RNAcentral lists this transfer RNA (77 nucleotides) under bioreactor metagenome. RNAcentral describes it as "tRNA-Ile". It matches the Rfam family "tRNA". Rfam says of the family: Transfer RNA (tRNA) molecules are approximately 80 nucleotides in length. The record is from RNAcentral.
GGGCGUAUAGCUCAGUUGGUUAGAGCGCGUCCCUGAUAAGGACGAGGUCCCCGGUUCAAAUCCAGGUACGCCCACCA